CAUCACCAUUCUACAGGAAGACACAGUCCAGUAAUGGGUGUCAGAAGUUCAGUAGUGAACGACAGGAAGGACUGAUGCAUUUACUGAGACGGGACGUGAGGGCCUACUCUGUGUGCUCAGAGUUCAAGCCCAGGAGGCUGCAGCGGGCCUGACAUAUUCCGGAACAGCAGCACAGUCUUUGGAUGACUCCUCUGAAGAUGAAAACAUGGCGAGUUCUUCUCAAGAGAAGCAGUACAGGUGUGCCUCAGCUCCACGGUCCCUCCUGCAGCCUCCGCUCCUGAUGCUAACCUCAUGUCUCCAUCACACCAAGCAGCAGACCUGGAGUGACAGACCUUUCUCCAGAGCUGCCCCCUCCCUCUGAAACCCCCCUCUCCAAAAAACUAUUUGUGGCAUUUUUAAAGUCUUAUUUGCAUGAGAAUUGUUGAUCAUAACAUUUCCAGCAGAUGCCUUAAUGUAAUGUUUGUGAACAAUAAAUGACAUUGAUCAUAA
Platichthys flesus (European flounder) is the source of this 489-nucleotide long non-coding RNA. RefSeq lists it as uncharacterized. The transcript has 3 exons. NCBI's taxonomy places the organism in Eukaryota, Metazoa, Chordata, Actinopteri, Pleuronectiformes, Pleuronectidae. The record is from RefSeq and is a predicted model, not a curated record.